UGACAGCGGCAGCAGCGGCGGCAGCGGGCGCUCAGGGUUGAGCAGGCUGUUCGGUGGGUUUGGAGGCAAGCGUGGCGGCGGUCGGUUGGAGGGAGAGGGCGGCGAGGACGUUGAGGAGUCGGGGUGGGUGUCGCACCUGGAUGGCGUGCAGGGUGUGCGGCGCGCGCUGCUGGCUCUGAGCGGCGUGCGGGCGAGUCAGCUGCUUGCGGUGGAGGUGCUGUGGACGCCGGAGCAGGCCGGCGACACGUUCAGUCGGGAGGACCUGCUGGAGGAUUACCCGCACCUGCAGCCGCUGUGAGGUAGGCAGAGCAGAUGUGGGGCGCUGGUGCGGUUAGGUGGAGAGGGGAGGCAAUCAGAGGUUGGGAAGAGGGCUGCAGUUAGGGAGUGGCCAUGCUGAGAUGGGAUUGUAAGAGUAGAAGCGGAGUGUUGAAAGUGGGAAACUCGCAGGAGCAAGUACAGAGGCCCUGCAAAUAAGGGACAAGGGCAGAUCCACAGAAGGACUUGAGUAUUUUGUAUUGAUUGUAUUGAUUGGCGGCGGUGCUUUUGUAGGCGGGCGGUGCCUGUACGAACCGCCCCCAGCUAUGUCCGAGGAAUGAGGUAGACGCUUGUGGCCUCAGACUGGAGACGUGGCUUGGGCUCAACCCACUGCUCCCCGCCCUGCGAGGGGAAACCAUUUUUCCUGUCCAUGAAGUGCGGAAAUGCAGAAGUGCGGAAAUGCGCAAUCAGGCGCAAUACGGUAGCGAGCGAGGGCGGCGACGAUGUUGGCGGGACGGAUGCCGUGAUGAGUCCGUCCUGCGCGUGUCAGUAGUGUGCAGUUGUGUCAUCAGCGGCUUCAGCAAUAACAUACUGCCGCAGCUGUCGUGCGCUGCCGCCCGCAACUGCUGUUCAGCAGGUCACAGCGGCAGUGCGUGCUAGAUGGUGGCUGGAGAGCAAGUGCGUGUCCGCCAACGUACAGCGGCCAACGCGCAGGAGUUGCGGCGCUUCAUCACGUGCGUGUGGGCUUACUUGGUUGGUGGCUUACUUUCACUUCAUCGACGGCCUGGAGCUCGGCAGGCACACGCACCAGCCGCAUUUGCGGCAUUUCAUGUGCACGGAUGUACGUAUGGCGCCGCUGCGUGCGUUGGGCUUAGCAGCAGGUAUCGCAUCACCAGCAGCGAGGGACAGCAGGUAGGGGCAGCGGUGGUGACAGCAGCAACGGCAGGGCACCAUUACGGAAGGGCACCACGGCACAACGCAGCUAGCAGUGGCAACAGCAGGCGCGUCCGAAGGGACGACCAGCGCUCCAGCGCUGGCAGGCCUGAAUCCUCAGUGCACGGGUUGUGCCGGCAACCGGCCAUACGCGCGCGCAAUGCGCAUCCAAUACCUAAACAUGUAUGGGGGUGGCGGUGCAUUGGCGGCAGCGCCGGCGCAAGACGGCAAGGGCUAGGGCGGGCUGCGGCACCUCCUACACCAUUAUCACCACGAGCGGGGACAUCGGCGGUGGCGUUUGACUAUGCACAUGAGCUGCAUUGAUGCAUCCAGCCAAAGGAUGGAUGGUUUAAGGAGCCGUGGAUGCCGUGGCCGGCAAUGUGUACAGUAUGAAAGGCAAUUCAUGUAAUGACCAUACCAUGAUGUCUCACGCCGUGUCAGGGUGUUGUGGAAGCGAGAUGUGGCUGAGGACUGUGCUACUGGAGGAACAGAUGGAGGCAGGGAGGGGGGGGGGGGGGGCGGCAUGAGCGGCCCUCGGGAAGGAGUCGGAAGUCGGGGCCUGCAGCUCUGCCCUUGGGCCUUGGCAUCCUGGUUCCAAACUUGCACGAUUGUACACCUAGUUGGCUUUACAGUCUGUGGUUCUUGUCCUUUUGCUCCCAGGCUUAGCCUGUGUCGCUUGUACCCGUUGGAAGCCCUACAUCCUCACACUACUGGUAAACUGAAAUAGUAUGCUGUCCCAUAGAUAUGCACAGGCUCCUAUCUCUAGGCGUAGACAGGAGCAAGUCGCAACGCGGCUCAAGUCGGUAUUGACGAUUCCCGGCAGGGCACUCGCGAGUGGCCCUGCCCGGCGCCCCGCGACAGUCAAUCGCUAUUCGUCAUGCAGCAGCAGCUCUGACAGGCAGUCCCGAUGGACUCCAAGGGCAGCCGGAAGCACUCAGCAAAUCGCAACAUCGCCGGGGCCCAGCGCUGCCCCAGCUGCCAGCUGCUCCUUCCCCCGCGGCCCCCUGGUCAACGAGUCAACGCCGCAACGUCAUGACUGGUGGCAGUGGCUGACGUCCGUGGUGGCGUCUGCGGGGCGCGUCGCGGCGCUGGCGCUUGUGGUGGCGUCGCUGGUGAGCGCACGUGGGGAGUUAGCUCUGGUUAGUUCCAUCCUAACCCCCAUGUUACACCCUGGCGAAGCACAACACACAUUGCAACCUCCCUUUUUUUACCGCACAUCCAUGCGAUGCACCUCUCAUGCGGUCAUGCCUCUUCCACACAUGCGUAGGUCCUGGCGUCCCCUGGCGCCGCCCUAGCCAAGGGCUCUGGCGGUCGGGCAGGAGGCCGCGGCGGCCGCAGCAGGGGCGGCAGUAGCAGCCGCUCCAACGGCAGUAGCAGCGGCGGCGGCUGGUCAUCUUCCUUUGGCGGCGGCGGAGGCGGCAGGACUAGCUACGGCCGGUCUGCUCUCGGCGGCGGCUACGGAGGCGGCGGCGCCAGGGAAAGUUUCAGCAUAGUUCGAACGAUGAUUUCAUUUCCCUACAACGGCAUUUACACGCAUCUGCCCGGGGGCCCCAGCGCUGGCAGCAGCUACGGCUACAGCGGCAGUAGCAUACCCGCCGCCAAUGCGUUCCGGGUGGCUGUAGCAACCCUGCUGAGCUCUGUGUUCUGGAUCGUGCUGAUUCGGGCCUACUGGCUCUUCGUGACCGACCCUGUGGGUCUCACGCUAGACACAUUCCUCAUCGGCAAACGAGGUGGCCGCGGAGGAAGCACCAGCGGGAGCGGGAGCGAUGGGUGGAGUGGCGGCGACAGCCUGGCGGCGCGUGGGGCGCCGGUGGCCGUGUGCCGGGUGCAGGUGGCGGUGCUGGCCUCGGCGAGGGAGGAGCUGCAGGUAGGCGUGAGCGGGGGGCGUGUGUAUGUGUAGGGGGUGGGGCGGGGGUGGGGGCGGGCGUUGCGCGUGUGGUCAGGCGUGGACGGCGCUGGCUUCGGUUGUGAGCCUGGACACAGCUCAGCCUGGGUUUGGAGUUGAGCCAAGUCUCUCCGUACAGGAGUGUGCGAAGUCCUCGCCAGGGUUUAUUAUAAGAGCUAUUUGUUAGAGGGCAUCGGUCGGCUGCGUCCCCUGCCCUCCCUCGCGGCCUUUCCUCACGUUCCGCCCCCUCACGCCACCGCAGACCAAGCUAGCGCGGCUGACUGAGGAGGUGGACACGCGCAGCCCCAUGGGACUGCACACGCUGCUGCACGGUGCGUGCGUGUGUCCAUACAUGUUUGUGCGUACGUGUGUGCGUGCGUGUGUGCGUGUGUAUGUGUGUGUGUGUGUGUGUGUGUGUGUGUGUGUGUGUUAAAAAACGAAGCGAAAGCCCGCCCAAUGUGUGUGUGUGUGUGUGUGCGUGUGUGCGUGUCUCUCCCGGUGUGUGCUCACUUGCUCAUCCGGGUCCACCUCCUGUCACCCAGCCCUCUCAUCUGGCCCCUGGCCCUCUCAUCUGGCCCCUGGCCCUCUCAUCUGGCCCCUCUCACCUGGCCCCUCACGCCCGCCCCGCACACCACCCUCCCACCACAGAGACUGCGCUGCUGCUGCUGCGGCACAGCGAGGCGUUUGCCUACGGCGGCGUGCAGGAGGCGGCGGCGGCGAGCGAGGCGGCGGCGGAGGCGGCCUUCGACCGACUGAGCCUGGCGGAGCGAAGCCGAUUCAAGUGCGUGGCCGUGUGUGUGUGUGUGUGUGUGUGUGUGUGUGUGUGUGUGUGUGUGUGUGUGUGUGUGUGUGUGUGUGUGUGUGUGUGUGUGUGUGUGUGUGUGUGUGUGUGUGUGUGUGUGUGUGUGUGUGUGUGUGUGUGUGUGUGUGUGUGUGUGUGUGUGUGUGUGUGUAUAUGUGUAUGUGUGGCGGGCGGCGGCGGCGGCGGCAGGGCGCAUGGGAAUGAUGGGAACUCGCAAGUUUCGAAUAAGCAAAACAUGGGAUGUAGCUCAACAGCACCUGCGCCUUGCCACACCGCUUGCCACAGGGAGGAGACCCUGUCCAACGUGCAGGGCCGCAAGCAGCGCUCCCACAUGACUGCUGCUGCUGUCGCCUCCGCCAGCAGCGGGCGGCGGCGUGAGGCCGUUGAUGAACUGGUGGUGGUUACGCUGCUGCUGUUGGCGCACCCGCCCCUGACCUGGCUGCUCACAAAUGCUGGCGCCGCCGGGGCCGCAGCGGCGACGGGCUCCCUGCUUGGCGUGCGCGAUGCGGCGACCGUGCCGCGCGAGAGUGCUGGCGCCAGCAGCAGCAGUGGCGGCGACGGCAUCUGGUCGAGCAUGCUGCGCGGGUUGGGUGCCAAGGGUGGGAGCGGGAAGCAGGAGGGGGUUGAGGAGUCGGGGUGGGUGUCGCACCUGGAUGGCGUGCAGGGUGUGCGGCGCGCGCUGCUGGCUCUGAGCGGCGUGUGGGCGAGUCAGCUGCUCGCGGUGGAGGUGCUGUGGACGCCGGAGCAGGCCGGCGACACGUUCAGUCGGGAGGACCUGCUGGAGGAUUACCCGCACCUGCAGCCGCUGUGAGGGGGAAGCAGAUGUGGAUGGGGCACUGGUGUGGUGACGUGGAGUGGGGAGGCAAUCAGAGGUUAGGAAGAGGCCUGCAGUGAGCAGGGGUGCGGGGUGGCCAACUCGCCCCAUGUGAUCGGUAACGGUCGGCAACCGCCCCUAAUUCCCAGUUGCGACCAGGCCCCGGCCCGAUUUCUUUGCAUAGACCUAUAAGGAGUACCCCAUAGAAGACCCCUGGCGCGCCGGGCGACUAGUUUACUGGCCUUUGACGAAACUUGACCAUUUGAACAGCAUUACCGCAUUUCCAGCCUCGAUGCAGCGCCCGGUGCGCCAGGUGACCAUCUAGAAGUGUUACGAAGUAGAUGGAGCGAAGCGGACAAGGCGGUCGCUGUUGGCUGCUCUGGGCGCUGGAGGGCUCUGCUCUGACGGUAGGGUCGCCGGCACCGCUCUUAGUCUUGUUCCGAUGAAUGAUAUGGGCUAUCCUUUGCUCCUAUAUUUAGCCUAGCGCAUCGGGCAUAUCAUCUGAGGCGUCGCUGGCUUUGGUUGCUUCACAUUUUAACGCUCUGCUGCUUCUUAUACCUGUAUCAAGCCUUUCCGCUAUUACCUGUACCAUAUCAACGAGGUGGUCAUGGACGAAAUCUGCAAAGCGUUGCCCGCGCGUCCAGGAUUUUAGCUCGCAGUUUGAACCGGGUGUCCGGGUGCAGAGGGGCCAGCUUUUGGUAUCCGCUACCAGCACCACAUGCAUCAACACCAGGGAUCAUGGCACCUGCAGCGCACUGCAGUUUAACCAAUGCAGUUUCGAACUCGGGGCGCCAUGCAACAUUCCUUGCACGUCAUAAAUUGUUUGCCUUGGCUCGUUCCGCUAUUUCUAGUAUACUCAGGAUGCCGAUUGACUGGAUGGAGGGUCGAGCGCACCUACGGCACGCCAGCCAUGUCAGCUCGCAGCAUCGGGAUGCACUGGCCCCGGGCAAACGCAUGCAUACAGCCGUGCCCACAUUGUGUUUUGUUAUCAUAUGAGCAUAUGGUCAACAUAGGGCUAGUUCCCUGUGGUUAACAACGCCCGGUCUGGUGGUGGCGUGCCGAUUGCAUGUCAUCGACCCACAUUCCUAACCAUUACUUGCUGUUAUCUGAGGUGUAUGAAUUGGGUUCUCUGUUGUGCGUGCAGGCGUUCGCUGCAAUGGGCGUCGAGAAGGGCUGGUGCGUUCUGUGCGGCACGUACGUCAAGUCGAAGGACCUUUCGCCACCCUUUCCACGGGCGGCAUGCGCCCCGACUACUGCAAUGGAACCGGCGAUUGCUGUUCUUACGUGCGGGCGGGCGGGGCCGCGGCAGGGGCAGGGGCAGGGGCCGCGCACAGCCCGCUGCUGACAAGGACG
Molecule: long non-coding RNA, 6042 nt
Filed under: Chlamydomonas reinhardtii
Lineage: Eukaryota; Viridiplantae; Chlorophyta; Chlorophyceae; Chlamydomonadales; Chlamydomonadaceae
Description: long non-coding RNA (CREI_LNC000938)
Source: RNAcentral